RNAcentral lists this unclassified non-coding RNA (26 nucleotides) under Mus musculus (house mouse). RNAcentral's name for it is "oocyte_clustered_small_RNA11872". Lineage: Eukaryota; Metazoa; Chordata; Mammalia; Rodentia; Muridae. The record is from RNAcentral.
UCAUAGACGUGGUCAUCGGGGUAUCU